RNAcentral lists this ribosomal RNA (495 nucleotides) under uncultured bacterium. Its description in RNAcentral is "bacterial SSU rRNA". It matches the Rfam family "Bacterial small subunit ribosomal RNA", at positions 30 to 518 of the family's 1533-position model. The record is from RNAcentral.
AUUGAACGCUGGCGGAAUGCUUUACACAUGCAAGUCGAACGGCAGCACGGGGCAACCUGGUGGCGAGUGGCGAACGGGUGAGUAAUACAUCGGAACGUGCCCAAUCGUGGGGGAUAACGUAGCGAAAGUUACGCUAAUACCGCAUACGAUCUACGGAUGAAAGCGGGGGAUCGCAAGACCUCGCGCGAAUGGAGCGGCCGAUGUCAGAUUAGGUAGUUGGUGGGGUAAAGGCUCACCAAGCCAACGAUCUGUAGCUGGUCUGAGAGGACGACCAGCCACACUGGAACUGAGACACGGUCCAGACUCCUACGGGAGGCAGCAGUGGGGAAUUUUGGACAAUGGGCGCAAGCCUGAUCCAGCCAUUCCGCGUGCAGGAUGAAGGCCUUCGGGUUGUAACUAGCUUUUGUUACGGAACGAAACGGCGAGCUCUAAUACAGUUUGCUAAUGACGGUACCGUAACGAAUAAGCACCGGCUAACUACGUGCCAGCAGCCGC